This 301-nucleotide ribosomal RNA is filed under the name uncultured bacterium. RNAcentral's name for it is "partial 16S ribosomal RNA". It matches the Rfam family "Bacterial small subunit ribosomal RNA", at positions 509 to 807 of the family's 1533-position model. The record is from RNAcentral.
CAGCAGCCGCGGGAAUACGAAGGGUGCAAGCGUUAAUCGGAAUUACUGGGCGUAAAGCGUGCGUAGGCGGUGAGUUAAGUCUGCUGUGAAAUCCCCGGGCUCAACCUGGGAAUGGCAAUGGAUACUGGCAAGCUAGAGUGUGUCAGAGGAUGGUGGAAUUCCCGGUGUAGCGGUGAAAUGCGUAGAGAUCGGGAGGAACAUCAGUGGCGAAGGCGGCCAUCUGGGACAACACUGACGCUGAGGCACGAAAGCGUGGGGAGCAAACAGGAUUAGAUACCCCGGUAGUCCCUGUCUCUUAUAC